RNAcentral lists this non-coding RNA (27 nucleotides) under Homo sapiens (human). The record is from RNAcentral. Lineage: Eukaryota; Metazoa; Chordata; Mammalia; Primates; Hominidae.
AUAACGUCCACGUGGAGAUUGAGCAGC